RNAcentral lists this ribosomal RNA (965 nucleotides) under Nebria rufescens. RNAcentral describes it as "SSU rRNA". It matches the Rfam family "Eukaryotic small subunit ribosomal RNA", at positions 21 to 865 of the family's 1831-position model. Lineage: Eukaryota; Metazoa; Arthropoda; Insecta; Coleoptera; Carabidae. The record is from RNAcentral.
AGUCAUAUGCUUGUCUCAAAGAUUAAGCCAUGCAUGUCUCAGUACAAGCCAAAUUAAGGUGAAACCGCGAAAGGCUCAUUAAAUCAGUUAUGGUUCCUUAGAUCGUACCCACAUUUACUUGGAUAACUGUGGUAAUUCUAGAGCUAAUACACGCAAACAGAGCUCCGACCAGAGAUGGAAGGAGUGCUUUUAUUAGAUCAAAACCAAUCGGCGGCAGGCACUUGUGUCUGUUCGUCGCCCUUUUUGGUGACUCUGAAUAACUUUAUGCUGAUCGCACGGUCUUGCACCGGCGACGCAUCUUUCAAAUGUCUGCCUUAUCAACUGUCGAUGGUAGGUUCUGCGCCUACCAUGGUUGUAACGGGUAACGGGGAAUCAGGGUUCGAUUCCGGAGAGGGAGCCUGAGAAACGGCUACCACAUCCAAGGAAGGCAGCAGGCGCGCAAAUUACCCACUCCCGGCACGGGGAGGUAGUGACGAAAAAUAACGAUACGGGACUCAUCCGAGGCCCCGUAAUCGGAAUGAGUACACUUUAAAUCCUUUAACCAGGACCAAUUGGAGGGCAAGUCUGGUGCCAGCAGCCGCGGUAAUUCCAGCUCCAAUAGCGUAUAUUAAAGUUGUUGCGGUUAAAAAGCUCGUAGUUGAAUCUGUGUCCCGUGCUGUCGGUUCACCGCCCGCGGUGCUAACUGGCACGUCUCACGGGACGUCCUGCCGGUGGAAGGUUAAUCUUCGUGUGCUGUCUGGGGUCUGAACGUUCGCGUACAGAAUUCCCGGGUGCACGGCGAUCCUUCCGACUUUUAUAAAUCCUGUCGCGGUGCUCUUAAUUGAGUGUCGAGGCGGGCCGGCACGUUUACUUUGAACAAAUUAGAGUGCUCAAAGCAGGCUAAAAUUUCGCCUGAAUACUGUGUGCAUGGAAUAAUGGAACAGGACCUCGGUUCUAUUUUGUUGGUUUUCGGAACCCCGAGGUAA